Molecule: ribosomal RNA, 495 nt
Filed under: uncultured bacterium
Lineage: Bacteria
Description: partial 16S ribosomal RNA
Rfam family: Bacterial small subunit ribosomal RNA
Source: RNAcentral
GACGAACGCUGGCGGCGUGCCUAAUACAUGCAAGUAGAACGCUGAAGGAGGAGCUUGCUUCUCUGGAUGAGUUGCGAACGGGUGAGUAACGCGUAGGUAACCUGCCUGGUAGCGGGGGAUAACUAUUGGAAACGAUAGCUAAUACCGCAUAAUAGUAGAUGUUGCAUGACAUUUGCUUAAAUGGUGCAAUUGCAUCACUACCAGAUGGACCUGCGUUGUAUUAGCUAGUUGGUGGGGUAACGGCUCACCAAGGCGACGAUACAUAGCCGACCUGAGAGGGUGAUCGGCCACACUGGGACUGAGACACGGCCCAGACUCCUACGGGAGGCAGCAGUAGGGAAUCUUCGGCAAUGGACGGAAGUCUGACCGAGCAACGCCGCGUGAGUGAAGAAGGGUUUCGGAUCGUAAAGCCCUGUUGUAAGAGAAGAACGAGUGUGAGAGUGGAAAGUUCACACUGUGACGGUAUCUUACCAGAAAGGGACGGCUAACUACGUG